AUAGACAGAAGAGGUGCGAUGCUUAGGUAGCUUGUUUGAGGACACGACAUCCAACGACAGCAAGUGAGGGAAGUAUUCGCCGAGGAAAGUGAUUGGUCGUCACAAUGACUUUUCGGUUUACGGGGUUGAAUCCCUGGAACUGUCACCGAUUAUUGGUGGAGAGCUUCUGGCAGU
Molecule: non-coding RNA, 174 nt
Filed under: Pseudoalteromonas luteoviolacea
Lineage: Bacteria; Pseudomonadati; Pseudomonadota; Gammaproteobacteria; Alteromonadales; Pseudoalteromonadaceae
Description: Lysine sequence
Rfam family: Lysine riboswitch aptamer
About the family: Riboswitches are metabolite binding domains within certain messenger RNAs that serve as precision sensors for their corresponding targets. Allosteric rearrangement of mRNA structure is mediated by ligand binding, and this results in modulation of gene expression. This family includes riboswitches that sense lysine in a number of genes involved in lysine metabolism, including lysC.
Source: RNAcentral